CAGCAGCCGCGGGAAUACGAAGGGUGCAAGCGUUACUCGGAAUUACUGGGCGUAAAGCGUGCGUAGGUGGUGGUUUAAGUCCGUUGUGAAAGCCCUGGGCUCAACCUGGGAAUUGCAGUGGAUACUGGGUCACUAGAGUGUGGUAGAGGAUAGUGGAAUUUCCGGUGUAGCAGUGAAAUGCGUAGAGAUCGGAAGGAACAUCUGUGGCGAAGGCGACUAUCUGGGCCAACACUGACACUGAGGCACGAAAGCGUGGGAAGCAAACAGGAUUAGAUACCCGUGUAGUCCCUGUCUCUUAUAC
RNAcentral lists this ribosomal RNA (301 nucleotides) under uncultured bacterium. RNAcentral's name for it is "partial 16S ribosomal RNA". It matches the Rfam family "Bacterial small subunit ribosomal RNA", at positions 509 to 807 of the family's 1533-position model. The record is from RNAcentral.